GCGUUAGUAGUGCAUUGGAUUGGAACACGCGCUCUCGGACAGAGUGAGAUGUGGGUUCGAGUCCCAGCUAGCGCG
This is a non-coding RNA of Parelaphostrongylus tenuis, 75 nucleotides long. The record is from the annotation of a GenBank genome assembly. Lineage: Eukaryota; Metazoa; Nematoda; Chromadorea; Rhabditida; Metastrongylidae.